GAUGGGUCGUUGAUAGCAACCAGCAGCCCAUGGUUAGUUGCAUACGAAAAGCUAGGAUUUAGUGUUAGUGGAUUCCAUGGUGGGCUGCAGCCUACAGACAGACUAACGACUGAAGCAGCUCAUACUAAGAAGCUCUCUGGUAUAGUUCUCUCAAAGAACUUC
Molecule: long non-coding RNA, 162 nt
Organism: Lolium rigidum
Lineage: Eukaryota; Viridiplantae; Streptophyta; Magnoliopsida; Poales; Poaceae
Exons: 3
Source: RefSeq, a predicted model, not a curated record